GGAGCUUGGAAAUGAACGGGUCAAAUGGAUACAAGUUCAAGUAUGAAGCUCGCAAGGAUGCAAGGAGUAGAUAUCCAAUGGAUACUCGCAUCGCUCUUAAUUAGCAAUUAUAAAGCAAGGUAUUAAACCGGGUUAGUAAGUUGAUCCGAGCCAGGUAUGUAUAAUAGAUUAACUCAUCAUGUAGAACUUGAAGUUCUAUGAAAGUUAGG
Molecule: long non-coding RNA, 209 nt
Filed under: Helianthus annuus (common sunflower)
Lineage: Eukaryota; Viridiplantae; Streptophyta; Magnoliopsida; Asterales; Asteraceae
Description: hypothetical non coding rna
Source: RNAcentral